GACGAACGCUGGCGGCGUGCUUAACACAUGCAAGUCGAACGGAAAGGCCCUGCUUUUGUGGGGUGCUCGAGUGGCGAACGGGUGAGUAACACGUGAGUAACCUGCCCUUGACUUUGGGAUAACUUCAGGAAACUGGGGCUAAUACCGGAUAGGAGCUCCUGCUGCAUGGGGGGGGUUGGAAAGUUUCGGCGGUUGGGGAUGGACUCGCGGCUUAUCAGCUUGUUGGUGGGGUAGUGGCUUACCAAGGCUUUGACGGGUAGCCGGCCUGAGAGGGUGACCGGCCACAUUGGGACUGGGAUACGGCCCAGACGCAUACGGGAGGCAGCAGUGGGGAAUAUUGCACAAUGGGCGGAAGCCUGAUGCAGCAACGCCGCGUGCGGGAUGACGGCCUUCGGGUUGUAAACCGCUUUCGCCUGUGACGAAGCGUGAGUGACGGUAAUGGGUAAAGAAGCACCGGCUAACUACGU
RNAcentral lists this ribosomal RNA (467 nucleotides) under uncultured bacterium. Its description in RNAcentral is "partial 16S ribosomal RNA". It matches the Rfam family "Bacterial small subunit ribosomal RNA", at positions 28 to 506 of the family's 1533-position model. The record is from RNAcentral.